This 339-nucleotide ribosomal RNA is filed under the name Rhipicephalus sanguineus (brown dog tick). RNAcentral describes it as "partial large subunit ribosomal RNA". The record is from RNAcentral. Lineage: Eukaryota; Metazoa; Arthropoda; Arachnida; Ixodida; Ixodidae.
UAAGAGAAUGGAAUUUCAGAAAAAAACUUUUUUCAAGUUAAAAAUUGAAAUUUUUUUAAUUUGUGCAGAAACAAUUAUUAAUAUUAAGGACAAGAAGACCCUAUGAAUUUAUAAAUUUUAUUUAAUAUGUAACUACUAUUAAAAAAAUUUUAGCUGGGGCGGCGGAAAAAUAUUUAAAACUUUUUUAAAAUAAAAUGACCCAUUAUUAAUGAUUAUAUGUUAAAUACUCUAGGGAUAACAGCGUUAUAUUUUUUGAUAGAUCAUAUUGACAAAAAAGUUUGCGACCUCGAUGUUGGAUUAGGAUACUUUUUUAAUGCAGAUAUUAAAAAAAGAAGUUUG